AGAGUGUUAUGAUGUUGGAGAUUUUUCUCCGAGUCUAGCUCAGCGCCGCUUCCCAGAUUGUCUGGGAAGC
This is a non-coding RNA of Enterococcus devriesei, 70 nucleotides long. The record is from Rfam. Lineage: Bacteria; Bacillati; Bacillota; Bacilli; Lactobacillales; Enterococcaceae.